GACCUCAGUGGCUCAUGGUAGAGCAUCUGCUCGGCAUGCAGAAGGUCCCAGGUUCAAUCCCCAUCAUCUCCA
This 72-nucleotide transfer RNA is filed under the name Sphaerodactylus townsendi. Its description in RNAcentral is "tRNA-Ala". Lineage: Eukaryota; Metazoa; Chordata; Lepidosauria; Squamata; Sphaerodactylidae. The record is from RNAcentral.